Molecule: ribosomal RNA, 268 nt
Filed under: uncultured bacterium
Lineage: Bacteria
Description: partial 16S ribosomal RNA
Rfam family: Bacterial small subunit ribosomal RNA
Source: RNAcentral
CGGGUACAACGAGUCGCAAGCUCGCGAGAGUAAGCUAAUCUCUUAAAGCCGUUCUCAGUUCGGACUGUAGGCUGCAACUCGCCUAUACGAAGUCGGAAUCGCUAGUAAUCGCGGAUCAGCAUGCCGCGGUGAAUACGUUCCCGGGCCUUGUACACACCGCCCGUCACACCAUGGGAGUUUGUAACGCCCAAAGUCGGUGGCCUAACCUUUAUGGAGGGAGCCGCCUAAGGCGGGACAGAUGACUGGGGUGAAGUCGUAACAAGGUAAC